Molecule: long non-coding RNA, 773 nt
Filed under: Homo sapiens (human)
Lineage: Eukaryota; Metazoa; Chordata; Mammalia; Primates; Hominidae
Description: HSALNT0302563
Source: RNAcentral
GGCGUCCGUAUGUCGUUAGAGCACUGGGAAAGGGGGCGGGCUGCUGGCUGGGAGGGGUCGGCGCGGUUUCUGGCGCGCCACCGGAAGGGCGUUAUCCUGGGGGAACUGAGAGUGGAAACUUUCCUCCCGGGAAAGGAAGAAACCCGACUGGAGAAAGAUGGGGUCUCGCCAUGUCACCCACGCUGGUCUUGAACUCCUGGGCUCAAGCGAUCCUCCUGCCCCAGCCUUCCAAAGUACUGGGAUUACAGAGACAGGGUCUCACUAUGUUGUCCAGCCUCGGCUCGAACUCCUGGGCUCAAGUGAUCCUCCUUCGUCAGACUCCCUAAGUGCUGGGAUUACAGGUAUGGAACAGGCUGACAGAGCUGGAUCCAAAGGGCUCAGAAUGGAGCAACCAAGGUGUAUUCACCUGAUGCUUUGGUCUCCCUAAGCUCUUCCAUAGAAACGAUCAUAUAUCACCUCGGCAAUUGUUUUACGAUUUCUCACUGUGUUUCUCAGAAUGGUCUCAGACUCCUGGCCUCAAGCGAUCCUUCUGCCUGAGCCUCCCAAAGUGCCGGGAUUACAGGCAUGAACCACUGCACUCAGCCUGUUUUCAACCUUAUAUAAAUGGAAUCCUACUGUAUGUGCUUUUUGAUAUCUGGGCUCCUUUGCUCUAUAUUAUGUCUGUGAGAUUAAUAAACUUGUUUGUUCAGUUACGUUACUGCUGUGUAGCAUUCUAUUGUAUAAUGUACCACAAUUUAUUCAUCUGGUCAUCCAACAAUUUGGGUGGUUAUGUU